GACGAACGCUGGCGGCGUGCUUAACACAUGCAAGUCGAACGGAAAGGCCCUGCUUUUGUGGGGUGCUCGAGUGGCGAACGGGUGAGUAACACGUGAGUAACCUGCCCUUGACUUUGGGAUAACUUCAGGAAACUGGGGCUAAUACCGGAUAGGAGCUCCUGCUGCAUGGUGGGGGUUGGAAAGUUUCGGCGGUUGGGGAUGGACUCGCGGCUUAUCAGCUUGUUGGUGGGGUAGUGGCUUACCAAGGCUUUGACGGGUAGCCGGCCUGAGAGGGUGACCGGCCACAUUGGGACUGAGAUACGGCCCAGACUCCUACGGGAGGCAGCAGUGGGGAAUAUUGCACAAUGGGCGGAAGCCUGAUGCAGCAACGCCGCGUGCGGGAGGACGGCCUUCGGGUUGUAAACCGCUUUCGCCUGUGACGAAGCGUGAGUGACGGUAAUGGGUAAGAAGCACCGGCUAACUACGUG
This 467-nucleotide ribosomal RNA is filed under the name uncultured bacterium. RNAcentral's name for it is "partial 16S ribosomal RNA". It matches the Rfam family "Bacterial small subunit ribosomal RNA", at positions 28 to 507 of the family's 1533-position model. The record is from RNAcentral.